Molecule: long non-coding RNA, 490 nt
Filed under: Calidris pugnax (ruff)
Lineage: Eukaryota; Metazoa; Chordata; Aves; Charadriiformes; Scolopacidae
Description: lncRNA (ENSCPUG00000016839.1)
Source: RNAcentral
CCCAGCCCGCCGCAGCAAAUGGCGGCAGGGCCCGGAGCUGCCGCGCUACGAACCGAGCUGGGGGGAGCGGGCGACCCCCGAUGAGGCUGGAAACUGUGGUGCCUGCUGUUGGAUUAUUUCUACAGCUUGCUAUUAGCAUUGAUAUAAAGAGGAAAAAGAGAUAAACAUCUAAGAAGAAAGCUAUAAAACGGUGUCUUGAGACUCCCCAGAAACAGAAUAAGAACAGCUACUCGAAGAUAAUGUCUGGAAAAUAUGGACACUAGAAGACAAGCUGCUGUGCUGAGGUAAGAGACCAGUGGUUCCAUGCUGAGCAGGGGACAUUGGGGCUGCAACUGGCGAUGGCGGAGGAAACUCUACUUCUGCCACUGCCCAUUCUCAAUAUAAAAUGUGAUUAAUUUUUAGCAAGGUCUCAAGCCUCAUUUUCUGUCUGUAAUAUCCAGGAGUUGAAUGCUGUAGUCCUAUCAAAAUAUUGCCUCUAUUACAACUUGUA